This 3111-nucleotide long non-coding RNA is filed under the name Sus scrofa (pig). Its description in RNAcentral is "lncRNA (ENSSSCG00060066037.1)". The record is from RNAcentral. Lineage: Eukaryota; Metazoa; Chordata; Mammalia; Artiodactyla; Suidae.
UUUCCUUAGCCCACCUGAUCCUUAGGGCAGAGCCUCCUCGCCUGCCCCUUGCAUCUCUCACAAGCAUCCUAUCUUAAUAAAUCUAUUUCUUAGCCAUCACUUUGUCUCUAGCUGAAUUCCUUCUGUGCUGAGACACAAAGAAGCUGAGCCUCAGUAAGUCCAGACACCAGGUGUGUGGAUUCCAGAGUUUCCUUUGUGGCUCAGCAGUUAAUGAAUCCAACUAGUAUCCAUGAGGACACAGGUUCAAUCCCUGGCCUCGCUCAGUGGGUUAAGCAUCCGGCAUUGCCAUGAGCUGUGGUGUAGGUCGAAGAUGCAGCUUGGAUCCCACGUUGCUGUGGCUGUGGUGUAGACCAGCAACUGUAUCUCCGAUUUGCCCCCUAGCCUGGGAACUUCCAUAUGCCAUGAGUGCAGCCCUAAAAAACAAAAUUAAAUUAAAUUAAAUUCUAAAAAAUAUAAAUAAAUAAAUAAAUAAAACUGUGGGUUCAAGUCCUGAUCUGGGUUCUGGCUGGGUUCCAGCAGGUGGUGUUUUUGGUUUCCAGGUGAUUGAAAGGUAACUCUCUUGGGCCAUGAGAAUUCAUUUCCCCUGCGUUCCUCACCUGUGGCUGUGUAAUGAGGUAGCAGGUUCAGAUUCAUUCAUGCAACAAACUUCCUGAGGGCUGAGUAGAAUCCAGACAUUGGCAGACAUAAUGGAUGUGUCUCAAUCAUGGUGUGUUCCAAUCUCUGUUGGGUUUUUCUAAAAUAUGUCAAUGUUAAAUAUUUUCUUUAUUUCUGACUAUAAUAUUCUAAUGAACUAGAUAAUUCAAGGAUUCCUGUGCCUUUUAGAAUAUCAUAUUUCAAAAACAUAACUUGGAAAAUCAACUCAAUUUCUCAGUCUUCUCUCUUUUUUUCCCCAGGAUUAGUUAUUUAAUUCACUGUUGAGGUUUGGAUUCCAGACAAAUUUGAAUUUUUGUGAAAUGCUAUUAAGUUCAAAAAGUAUUUUGAUUUAUGUUUUAUAAUAUUCAAGUAGGAUGAGGCACCAACUGUGUAUCUUGAAGUUGCACAAAAUGAAUGGCAGAUGUUGAGCUCAUAAACCUGUCUACAUUUAAACUCCAAUCUCAGCACUUUAAGCCACUUAUAAAUUGAGAUAAAAUACAAAUACAUGGGAAAAUGUUUGGGGGGAGUUCAUUCUUUCAUACCUCAAAAAUUUCAUGCCUCAAAAAUGCAGGCAAAUCUCAAAGCAGAAGAUUCUAGAAAGUAUAACAAAUGGUUUUGUUAGGUGACUAUUGACUGAAAUUGCCCACUUUGGCCAGGCACUUAGCCGCUGGCAUGAGCUGUCUCAUAGCAGAAGGCCCUGAUAAGGACCGUGGUGCUGCCCCAAAGACUAACAGGAGGGCUUGGGAGGGGCCAGUAGGAGGGAGGAGAUGACCAACCUCCCAGGAUCCUUGGCGCUGGAAUCCACCUUGGCUGAGAGACAUGAGAACCCCCAAGAAGGACCCUGCGCCAGACCAGGUACAAACUUAGCAAGAUCAUUGGCCAGAGACAACCCAGAAACUAACCCCAUUCCCAUAAACCCUGAGACUGCGAGCCACAUGGCAGAGGCCUCCUCCUGGGUUCCCUCACCUGCUGCUCUCCGCCCAGGUGCCCCUUCCCAAUAACAUCUCCUGCUUUGUCAGCCCCUGGUCUCCUCCGACAAUUCAUUUCUGAGUGUGAGACAAGAGCCCACUCUUGGGCCCUGCAGCCAUUUCCUUCCAGCUUUGAAUAAAGUGAAUUCGAAGACUGUCUGGUCUCCUUUCUUCAGUGAACAGUGAUGCUUACUGACGCAGAAGAAAGUAGGAUCCCCACGCUCGGAAAUCUAACACCGGCUAAGAGCAUGUUCCAAAUCUCCCAAUUUAAAUGAUCCCAGAAAUCUGUGCACUUUUGGGGAACCCACUCUCCCAGCUUGCUUUGAGAAUCAGAGGUUCAUUGUAAUAAGCUGAAAUAAUACUGUGUAAAAACCUACCUUUUUAUUUUCUCAAAAGGGAGGGUUAGUAUUUCCUAAUUAAAAUUAAUAACAAUAAUAAUUAGACGCAGAUUAAAUUAUACCAAGGAAUGCAGUUCUAUUUUAACACGUUUUUAUUUCAUUAUUUUAUAGAGAGCACAAUUAAAUUCUGCUUAAAAAAAUGUUCACACUGUAACAUGCAGGACCCUGUGGGGCCUCGGUGGGGGGGGCCCUCCCCCUCCCCCCAGCUCCUCUCCAAGUACCCAGAUCACAUUCCUGAGCUGUUUCAAUGUGAAAAUCCCUCCCACCAGAUAGAAGGUGUUAACCACUCAAUGACCUUGAGCAGAGCCCCCAGGUCGCCAGAAGCCUAAGGAUUGUGACCUCAGCAUCAGCCAGUCAGAGAACUGUGCACAAACCCAUCUCCCACCCUGCCAGCCCUCCCCCACCUGGCUUUUAAAUGUGCUUUAUAAUUUUGGUUCAGGGAGUUGAGGAUAUUUGGGGGUACGAGCCACCCAUCUCCAUGCAUGGCCUCCAGUAAACCCUUCUCUGCUCCAAACUCUGAUGUUCUGGUGUGUUUGGGCUUCGCUGUGUGUCACACAGAAUUUUAUGAACAACAUGAGUUAUUACCUGAGAACCAAGUGGAGUUCAUCUAAAAGAUGAAGUUAAAACAGUAAUUCCUCAGUAAAUGUCUCUAAAUAUAUUCAACAUGUCUCAAAGUGGUACGGUCAGCCUAGAGGCAAGCGAUAUUUCAAAACACGGUAGCUUUUUAUGAACUCCGGAGUAACGCGUCACCUGCUUCAGCCUGCCCUGCUCCAGCUCUGAGAACACCCACCUGGAGGAAGAGGUGUGACACUGCAAGUGCCCAACUGACUUAAAACAUGUCUUUCACUCCUCUUUUUGGCAGUUUGUAAAUAUUUUCUGUGCAUUUAACAUGUAUUGAUUGCCUUAAUUUCCUAAAAAUAGAUCAGCACAGGUCAAAUCAUCCUAUUAUAUUUGAGACCUUUAAGAAUCUUUUAGAGGAGUUCCCACUGUGGCGAAGUGGGUCAAGGAUCCAGCAUUGUCUCUGCAGUGGCUUGGGUUGCUGCCGAGGCACGGUACAAUUCCCAGCUCUGUACAGUGGCUUAAGGAUCAAGUGUUGCAACAGCUGUGGCUCA